This 254-nucleotide ribosomal RNA is filed under the name uncultured bacterium. RNAcentral describes it as "partial 16S ribosomal RNA". It matches the Rfam family "Bacterial small subunit ribosomal RNA", at positions 524 to 776 of the family's 1533-position model. The record is from RNAcentral.
UACGGGGGGAGCAAGCGUUGUUCGGAUUUACUGGGCGUAAAGGGCGCGUAGGCGGCCACCGCAAGUCGACUGUGAAAUCUCCGGGCUUAACCCGGAAGGGUCAGCCGAUACUGCGGGGCUAGAGUGCAGAAGGGGCAACUGGAAUUCUCGGUGUAGCGGUGAAAUGCGUAGAUAUCGAGAGGAACACCUGCGGCGAAGGCGGGUUGCUGGGCUGACACUGACGCUGAUGUGCGAAAGCUAGGGGAGCGAACGGG